UACGUAGGGUGCAAGCGUUAAUCGGAAUUACUGGGCGUAAAGCGUGCGCAGGCGGUUGUGCAAGACCGAUGUGAAAUCCCCGGGCUUAACCUGGGAACUGCAUUGGUGACUGGCAAGCUAGAGUGUGGCAGAGGGGGGUAGAAUUCCACGUGUAGCAGUGAAAUGCGUAGAGAUGUGGAGGAAUACCGAUGGCGAAGGCAGCCCCCUGGGCUAACACUGACGCUCAUGCACGAAAGCGUGGGGAGCAAACAGG
Molecule: ribosomal RNA, 253 nt
Filed under: uncultured bacterium
Lineage: Bacteria
Description: partial 16S ribosomal RNA
Rfam family: Bacterial small subunit ribosomal RNA
Source: RNAcentral